CAGUAGCCACGGGAAAACCAGCAGCCCAAGUGGUGGUCGCGUUUAUUGGGCCUAAAGCGCUCGUAGCCUGACCGGUAAGUUCCCCGUGAAAUCGGGUCGCCCAACGAUUCGGCUUGCGGGGAAUACUGUCGGUCUUGGGGCCGGGAGACGCCGAGGGUACUCCGGGGGUAGCGGUGAAAUGCUGUAAUCCUCGGGGGACUACCAGUGGCGAAGGCGCUCGGCGAUAACGGGCCUGACGGUGAGGGGCGAAAGCUGGGGGCGCGAACGGGAUUGGAUACCCGCGUAGUCCCUGUCUCUUAUC
Molecule: ribosomal RNA, 301 nt
Filed under: uncultured bacterium
Lineage: Bacteria
Description: partial 16S ribosomal RNA
Rfam family: Archaeal small subunit ribosomal RNA
Source: RNAcentral